Oncorhynchus tshawytscha (Chinook salmon) is the source of this 655-nucleotide long non-coding RNA. NCBI's taxonomy places the organism in Eukaryota, Metazoa, Chordata, Actinopteri, Salmoniformes, Salmonidae. The record is from Ensembl.
ACAGUAGAGACAGUAGAGACAGUAAGAGCAGGAGAGACAGUAAACACGACAGAGACACAGUAGAGACCAGUGGAUUAUUAUCAGGGAGUGACUCAACAUAAAUAAACCUGGACAAACCAGUUGGUCUGGUCGGUACACUUCUUUACCUGCUGCUAGGAGAGAGGAGGAACGUAGAACUACUGAAACCUGACAACAGACAGAGGCCAGGUGAGGGUUUAGGGGGGGACAGGGAGACAGAGAGAGGCCAGGUGAGGGUAUAGGGGAGGACAGAGAGAGAGAGAGAGAGAGAGAGAGGCCAGGUGAGGGUAUAGGGGAGGACAGAGAGAGGCCAGGUGAGGGGAGAGAGACAGAGAGAGAGAGAGAGAGAGGCCAGGUGAGGGUAUAGGGGAGGACAGAGAGAGAGAGAGAGGCCAGGUGAGGGUAUAGGGGAGGACAGAGAGAGAGAGAGAGGCCAGGUGAGGGUAUAGGGGAGGACAGAGAGAGAGAGAGAGGCCAGGUGAGGGUAUAGGGGAGGACAGAGAGAGAGAGAGAGAGGCCAGGUGAGGGUAUAGGGGAGGACAGAGAGAGAGGCCAGGUGAGGGUAUAGGGGAGGACAGAGAGAGGCCAGGUGAGGGUAUAGGGGAGGACAGAGGAGUAAAUACAGGUCACCUUUGUA